CAGUAGCCGCGGUAAUACGAAGGGGGCUAGCGUUGUUCGGAUUUACUGGGCGUAAAGCGCACGUAGGCGGACUUUUAAGUCAGGGGUGAAAUCCCGGGGCUCAUCUCCAACAUUGCUUCCUAGACUGGCAGUCUUGAGUAGCGGAGAGGAAGGGGGAACGACACGUGUAGCGGUGAAAUGCGUUGAUAUGUGUCGGAACACCCAUGGCGAAAGCACCCUUCUGGACGCAAACUGACGCUCAGGUUCGAAAGCCAAGGUAGCGAACAGGAUUAGAUACCCCCGUAGUCCCUGUCUCUUAUAA
Molecule: ribosomal RNA, 301 nt
Filed under: uncultured bacterium
Lineage: Bacteria
Description: partial 16S ribosomal RNA
Rfam family: Bacterial small subunit ribosomal RNA
Source: RNAcentral